RNAcentral lists this long non-coding RNA (962 nucleotides) under Homo sapiens (human). RNAcentral's name for it is "novel transcript". The stretch from base 378 to 450 matches the Rfam family "tRNA". The record is from RNAcentral. Lineage: Eukaryota; Metazoa; Chordata; Mammalia; Primates; Hominidae.
AAUUUUGAAAGCAGCCAAAGGGAAAUGAAAGAGAAACUACCAAAUGAAUGAUUGUAGAUUUCGCAUCAGGAACCAUAGGGGCCAGAAAAAAUGUCAUAACAUUCGGAGACUACGGAAAAGAAGAGUGACUAAGAUCUCUGAAGAAGGGAAAAGCUAGAUGACUGGGCCACAAGAGAAAAAAAGCAGCAAGACAGAAAGACUCCUGUUGUCCACCUCGGGAGCUGACACGAUAAAUGCGGACAAUGAGUAGCCACUGCUGUUUGCCCUGGCCCAUCAAUGAGAAGAUCUGCUCUUAGAGCCCUGCUUUCCUGCUGAAGGCCCUGAAAUCACCUGUGUUCCAGGCCACCUGCUAACAAUAAAUAAUGCUGCCCUGAUGUGGGGAAUUAGCUCAAGUGGUAGAGCGCUUGCUUAGCACGCAAGAGGUAGUGGGAUCGAUGCCCACAUUCUCCAAGCUUUAUUAUUUAGACAUCGUGUCUCCAAACACUCAGGUCUCCAAACCCAAGUUAGUGUCUGAGAACAGGAUGCUGCUUUGGUUCAAGACGUAGGAGCAGCAAUAAUAGAGGGCUGGUGAUGGCUCCCUCUUGGCAUUCAGUAUAGUGUAGAUCUACCAUGUAAUUAAUUCUCUGUUUCUUUGAGGAGCUGUGAAACCAAGGGACAUAUACAACUGCUCUUUUCUCCCUGUUUCUACCUGCAGCUUUGUCCUAAAUGUGAGACAAUUAUGAAAAGUGCAGCGCAGAGCCACUUGGGUAAAUACAGCCCCGGCUUUCUGCUCAGGGGACAGAGUUUGAGGCACUGCAGAGGAACCGGCCAAAGUAUGAGACCCAUAUAUUGAGAGUAACAGAGUGUAAAGUUCAAAAAAAUCAAAAUAUUUAAAGAUUUAUCAUGGGUCUUGAUGACAUGAUGGAAUCUCUCUACUCUCUGGACUUAUUAUGUGUGGUAAUAAAUUUACUUUUUAAAAGCCA